This is a long non-coding RNA of Belonocnema kinseyi, 1972 nucleotides long. RefSeq lists it as uncharacterized. NCBI's taxonomy places the organism in Eukaryota, Metazoa, Arthropoda, Insecta, Hymenoptera, Cynipidae. The transcript is spliced from 2 exons. The record is from RefSeq and is a predicted model, not a curated record.
GACUUUUAUUUGUGGUAUUUAUCAAACUAACCAUGUUUUGCAAAGUUAUAAAUGUAAAAAUAUUUCAAUUAAAAAUUUACUUUCAAUCCGAAUGGUUCUUGUCUGAGCUAAGUUACUAUCAAUGCGCCUCGAGGGGCCUACUGAGAGUUGCUUACAGCGCUCCAAGUGCCUGUUUGAAAAAGGUAUCGAUGUGACUUCGUGUCUGUUAUCUACGGCUGGCGGUGUGUAGAGGGGAAGUGACAUUUUUCGCCGGACGCGCCCUCUAUAUUUAUGGCGGGCAACUAAACCCGCACUGCAUCUACGUUUAUAAUAUCUUUGCCCGUGUUUCCUAUGACCAUGUGUUCCUCCAAGAGAUUCUACCUGAAAAUGAACUCGAUAUGCACUAGUGGUGCCAUCACUAUGAGUUUGCACAGACUAUUCAAACCAUCCUCGCAUUCCAUUUAAGGGCAUGUGACACACUCAAAUACCUAUAUUGCCAGACUCACUUUAUCAGUUCAUUGAUUUUUUUUUAAUUAGGUACUUUUUUGUAAAUAAAAUAUCAGACUGAAACUUAAGACCAUAAACUAAGUUUAUGUAUUGCAUUUGAGAAGGAAUUUCACUAACAAUUAUUUUCAAAGAAAUUAAAACUGGGACCAGUUUUUAAAAUAUUUUCUUUGUAACCUUGAAAUUUGUUAAACCUCGGAACUUUUUUUGGAUUUAAAAUAUCUGCGAAAUGUAAAAAACGUGCAUAAACGUAAUUUACUGUCGGCUCCUGCUUUUCUUGAAGUUUGAGGCCGAUAUUUUAAAAUGGACCCGGUUUUAAUUUAUUUGAAAAUAAUUUUGUGCAAAAUUCCUACUAAAAUGAAGUACAUAAACGUAAUUUAUGGUCUUCUGAUACUUUUUCCAACGUUUCAGUCAGAUAUUUUAUUUCAACAAAAGUUUCUAAGUUUAAAGAAAAUUCAGUAAUCUGAAAAAGUAAAGUCACAUGCCCUUGAAACCUGAAUUAUGACAUUUUUUUUAAUUUGCUGUAUGAAGAAAACAGUUACAGGAAAUGUUUUCUGUACUUUGUUUAUGCUGCGAAUAUGCUGAAUAAAACUGGACAUUUGCUACAAGUUAACAUAAGGUAAACGUCCCAGUCGUGGUGCCAAAUGUCUUAUUUUUAAUUUAAUUUAAUAUAAAUUAAUGUAAUUUCUAUUUGAUAUUAUAAAAUUCUAAAAAUAAGUGGGUUUUAUUAUUAAGUGUUACUUAUACCAUAUUUUUUAAAACAAUAUAUUUACAAAAUAUAUUUACAACGAAAAUUGAAAUGACUGUUCGCUUUUUUCUUCAGUCAGCAUUGAAAGUACUAUCUUAGCUCUGUAAACAUUUUUUAAAAAUUUUAAUAAGAAUAUGAAAAUAUUUUUUCAGUUUUUGAAGGCAUAUUAUUAUUUUUUAAAUUCAAACAAUUUUUUAGUAAAAUAUUUUCUUUCUCCUCGCCUCAAUUUUCAUUAGGUAGAAAUUGUUUGUAACAUACAUUAACGUAAGUUACUUUACAUUAUAGUUACUCAAAAAUUGGAACGCGUUACCAUUACGAAAAAAGUAACGUUUCGGGUAACGCGUUACUGUCAAACGCUCUGGUUCCAUUUUUAUAAAAAACGACCUAAAGACCUCACUAAACCUUCUCUAAAUGGAACAGUCCUCAUCGGAUGAGAAAAACGACAUUCACCAGUGAUUCAUAAAAUGCACGUGAUAUAUUCGCUAAACAUUUGUACACAACGUUUAUAUUUUUGAUUUUGUAAAUAUUUUUCAUUUGAUUGCACGAGAAUUAUUUAUAUCUCUCGGAGGUCGCUAAAUUACAUCCAGUCUCAAAUUGAAUACCAAUGUUUGUGUUUUGCAAAUAAGUGUGACAAGAAAAAUUUGUUGCUACAUUUUUAUUCAAAACUUACAAAAAUUGAAAAAGUAUGUAAUUUAAAAGCAGCCUUAACUGAGUUGAAAUAAAAUUCUCGUGCGUUCAGCU